ACUCAACGUUAUAGAUUUAAAAAGGAUGAGUUUUGGUUAGGAAAGCACGCCGUUAUUAUUAGUUUACUAAUUCUUAGACGGAUCCUUGAUAAGCCAGUUAGUCCUAAACCUGUUUUUUAGGAGUUU
This is a small RNA of Tenacibaculum sp., 126 nucleotides long. It matches the Rfam family "6S-Flavo RNA". NCBI's taxonomy places the organism in Bacteria, Pseudomonadati, Bacteroidota, Flavobacteriia, Flavobacteriales, Flavobacteriaceae. The record is from Rfam.